AGAACAUUAUGAUGAAAUUAUUGACGGGCGGACUGAAACAUAUUGUUGACUUGUCAUUUUCUGAUUCA
This is a non-coding RNA of Biomphalaria glabrata, 68 nucleotides long. The record is from Rfam. NCBI's taxonomy places the organism in Eukaryota, Metazoa, Mollusca, Gastropoda, Planorbidae.